RNAcentral lists this ribosomal RNA (500 nucleotides) under uncultured Sphingobacteriales bacterium. Its description in RNAcentral is "bacterial SSU rRNA". It matches the Rfam family "Bacterial small subunit ribosomal RNA", at positions 903 to 1382 of the family's 1533-position model. Lineage: Bacteria; Pseudomonadati; Bacteroidota; Sphingobacteriia; Sphingobacteriales. The record is from RNAcentral.
CCUUGCCAGCCCGCUCAAGAACUCAAAGGAAUUGACGGGGGCCCGCACAAGCGGUGGAGCAUGUGGUUUAAUUCGAUGAUACGCGAGGAACCUUACCUGGGCUCAAAUGUAUGUUGACGUAUUCUGAAAGGGAUACUUCUUCGGACAAUAUACAAGGUGCUGCAUGGUUGUCGUCAGCUCGUGCCGUGAGGUGUCGGGUUAAGUCCCAUAACGAGCGCAACCCUACCUUUAGUUGCCAUCAGGUAAUGCUGGGGACUCUAAAGGAACUGCCUACGCAAGUAGUGAGGAAGGCGGGGAUGACGUCAAAUCAGCACGGCCCUUACGUCCAGGGCUACACACGUGCUACAAUGGCCGAUACAGAGGGCAGCUACCUGGUGACAGGAUGCAAAUCUCCAAAGUCGGUCUCAGUUCGGAUCGGAGUCUGCAACCCGACUCCGUGAAGUUGGAUUCGCUAGUAAUCGCGCAUCAGCCAUGGCGCGGUGAAUACGUUCCCGGGCCUU